This is a non-coding RNA of Angiostrongylus costaricensis, 72 nucleotides long. The record is from Rfam. NCBI's taxonomy places the organism in Eukaryota, Metazoa, Nematoda, Chromadorea, Rhabditida, Metastrongylidae.
GCCUCAUUGGCUCAGGGGCAGAGCGUCUGUCUCGUAAACAGAAGGUCCCUGGUUCGAUUUCAGCAUGAGGAA